This 384-nucleotide ribosomal RNA is filed under the name Mesorhizobium sp. Its description in RNAcentral is "partial 23S ribosomal RNA". It matches the Rfam family "Bacterial large subunit ribosomal RNA", at positions 1991 to 2373 of the family's 2925-position model. The record is from RNAcentral. Lineage: Bacteria; Pseudomonadati; Pseudomonadota; Alphaproteobacteria; Hyphomicrobiales; Phyllobacteriaceae.
CACGAAUGGCGUAACGAUGGCCACACUGUCUCCUCCCGAGACUCAGCGAAGUUGAAGUGUUUGUGAUGAUGCAAUCUCCCCGCGGCUAGACGGAAAGACCCCAUGAACCUUUACUGUAGCUUUGCAUUGGACUUUGAACCGGUCUGUGUAGGAUAGGUGGGAGGCUGUGAAGCGUGAACGCCAGUUUGCGUGGAGCCAUCCUUGAAAUACCACCCUGAUCUGUUUGAGGUUCUAACCCUGGUCCGUGAAUCCGGAUCGGGGACAGUGCAUGGUAGGCAGUUUGACUGGGGCGGUCUCCUCCCAAAGUGUAACGGAGGAGUACGAAGGUACGCUAGGUACGGUCGGAAAUCGUGCUGAUAGUGCAAUGGCAUAAGCGUGCUUAAC